Molecule: long non-coding RNA, 247 nt
Organism: Wyeomyia smithii (pitcher-plant mosquito)
Lineage: Eukaryota; Metazoa; Arthropoda; Insecta; Diptera; Culicidae
Exons: 3
Source: RefSeq, a predicted model, not a curated record
GGAAAAUCAACAACAACCACAGUAGAAGCCACAGAAACAGCAUCGCCAGCCAAGACGCAUUUCCGAAUGUAACAUAACUGAAAUAUUGAAUGAGUUUGAAUCGCUCGUUUGGCGGAUCAAUACAAUGAGAUACGAAAUUAAAAACAUUAUUAAUGAAUCAUCAAUGUCAAGAAAAGAAAAAAAAUUUUACGUUGCCCAACUUGAAGGACAAGUAUCGAUUUUGCGAGAACUAGGCCAAUGAUUUAAG